This 341-nucleotide ribosomal RNA is filed under the name Aptinothrips karnyi. RNAcentral's name for it is "eukaryotic LSU rRNA". It matches the Rfam family "Eukaryotic large subunit ribosomal RNA", at positions 645 to 957 of the family's 3401-position model. Lineage: Eukaryota; Metazoa; Arthropoda; Insecta; Thysanoptera; Thripidae. The record is from RNAcentral.
UGACCCGUCUUGAAACAAGGACCAAGGAGUCUAACAUGUGCGCGAGUCAUUGGGCUCUACGAAACCUAAAGGCGAAAUGAAAGUGAAGGCUAGCUUGCUAGCUGAGGGGUGAUGACCGUUCCUUCACCGGGCGGUCCGCAACCCCGGGGCGUCUCAUUCUCUUUGAGAAGUGGCGCACCCAGAGCGUACACGUUGGGACCCGAAAGAUGGUGAACUAUGCUUGGCCAGGACGAAGUCAGGGGAAACCCUGGUGGAGGUCCGUAGCGAUUCUGACGUGCAAAUCGAUCGUCGGAGCUGAGUAUAGGGGCAAAAGACUAAUCGAACCGUCUAGUAGCUGGUUC